RNAcentral lists this ribosomal RNA (726 nucleotides) under bacterium. Its description in RNAcentral is "bacterial SSU rRNA". It matches the Rfam family "Bacterial small subunit ribosomal RNA", at positions 67 to 805 of the family's 1533-position model. The record is from RNAcentral.
CGAUGAAGCCCAGCUUGCUGGGUGGAUUAGUGGCGAACGGGUGAGUAACACGUGAGCAACCUGCCCCUGACUCUGGGAUAACAGCCGGAAACGGUUGCUAAUACCGGAUAUGCAUCAUGGCCGCAUGGUCUGUGGUGGGAAAGAUUUUUCGGUUGGGGAUGGGCUCGCGGCCUAUCAGCUUGUUGGUGAGGUAGUGGCUCACCAAGGCGUCGACGGGUAGCCGGCCUGAGAGGGUGACCGGCCACACUGGGACUGAGACACGGCCCAGACUCCUACGGGAGGCAGCAGUGGGGAAUAUUGCACAAUGGGCGGAAGCCUGAUGCAGCAACGCCGCGUGAGGGAUGACGGCCUUCGGGUUGUAAACCUCUUUUAGCAGGGAAGAAGCGAAAGUGACGGUACCUGCAGAAAAAGCGCCGGCUAACUACGUGCCAGCAGCCGCGGUAAUACGUAGGGCGCAAGCGUUAUCCGGAAUUAUUGGGCGUAAAGAGCUCGUAGGCGGUUUGUCGCGUCUGCUGUGAAAACCCGAGGCUCAACCUCGGGCCUGCAGUGGGUACGGGCAGACUAGAGUGCGGUAGGGGAGAUUGGAAUUCCUGGUGUAGCGGUGGAAUGCGCAGAUAUCAGGAGGAACACCGAUGGCGAAGGCAGAUCUCUGGGCCGUUACUGACGCUGAGGAGCGAAAGGGUGGGGAGCAAACAGGCUUAGAUACCCUGGUAGUCCACCCCGUAA